GGCGGACGGGUGAGUAAUGCUUAGGAAUCUGCCAUUUAGUGGGGGACAACAUUCCGAAAGGAAUGCUAAUACCGCAUACGUCCUACGGGAGAAAGCAGGGGAUCUUCGGACCUUGCGCUAAAUGAUGAGCCUAAGUCGGAUUAGCUAGUUGGUGGGGUAAAGGCCUACCAAGGCGACGAUCUGUAGCGGGUCUGAGAGGAUGAUCCGCCACACUGGGACUGAGACACGGCCCAGACUCCUACGGGAGGCAGCAGUGGGGAAUAUUGGACAAUGGGCGGAAGCCUGAUCCAGCCAUGCCGCGUGUGUGAAGAAGGCCUUUUGGUUGUAAAGCACUUUAAGCGAGGAGGAGGCUACUAGUACUAAUACUACUGGAUAGUGGACGUUACUCGCAGAAUAAGCACCGGCUAACUCUGUGCCAGCAGCCGCGGUAAUACAGAGGGUGCGAGCGUUAAUCCGAUUUACUGGGCGUAAAGCGUGCGUACGCGGCUUUUUAAGUCGGAUGUGAAAUCCCC
This 512-nucleotide ribosomal RNA is filed under the name Acinetobacter sp. A1aC-11. RNAcentral's name for it is "bacterial SSU rRNA". It matches the Rfam family "Bacterial small subunit ribosomal RNA", at positions 97 to 604 of the family's 1533-position model. The record is from RNAcentral. Lineage: Bacteria; Pseudomonadati; Pseudomonadota; Gammaproteobacteria; Moraxellales; Moraxellaceae.